CCCAGGUCCAGUCUUGUGCCCCUCCGCCCCAGGUCCAGUCUUGUGCCCCUCCGCCCCAGGUCCAGUCUUGUGCCCCUCCGCCCCAGGUCCAGUCUUGUGCCCCUCCGCCCUAGGUCCAGUCUUGUGCCCCUCCGCCCAGGUCCAGUCUUGUGCCCCUAGCCCCUCCGCCCCAGGUCCAGUCUUGUACCCCUAGCCCCUCCGCCCCAGGUCCAGUCUUGUACCCCUAGCCCCUCCACCCCAGGUCCAGUCCUGUACCCCUAGCCCCUCCACCCCAGGUCCAGUCCUGUGCCCCCCUACCCCAGGUCCAGUCCUGUGCCCCUCCGCCCAGGUCCAGUCCUGUACCCCUAGCCCCCUCCGCCCCAGGUCCAGUCCUGUACGCCUAGCCCCUCCGCCCCAGGUCCAGUCUUGUACCCCUAGCCCCUCCGCCCCAGGUCCAGUCUUGUACCCCUAGCCCCUCCGCCCCAGGUCCAGUCCUGUACCCCUAGCCCCUCCACCCCAGGUCCAGUCCUGUGCCCCUACCCCAGGUCCAGUCCUGUACCCCUAGCCCCUCCACCCCAGGUCCAGUCCUGUACCCCUAGCCCCUCCGCCCCCAGGUCCAGUCCUGUGCCCCUCCGCCCCAGGUCCAGUCUUGUGCCCCUCCGCCCCAGGUCCAGUCUUGUGCCCCUCCGCCCCAGGUCCAGUCUUGUGCCCCUCCGCCCCAGGUCCAGUCUUGUGCCCCUCCGCCCCAGGUCCAGUCUUGUGCCCCUAGCCCCUCCGCCCCAGGUCCAGUCUUGUGCCCCAGGUCCAGUCUUGUGCCCCUAGCCCCUCCGCCCCAGUCUUGUGCCCCUAGCCCCUCCGCCCCAGGUCCAGUCUUGUGCCCCAGGUCCAGUCUUGUGCCCCUAGCCCCUCCGCCCCAGGCCCAGUCCUGUGCCCCUCCGCCCCAGGCCCAGUCCUGUGCCCCUCCGCCCCAGGCCCAGUCCUGUGCCCCUCCGCCCCAGGCCCAGUCCUGUGCCCCUCCGCCCCAGGCCCAGUCCUGUGCCCCUCCGCCCCAGGUCCCAGUCCUGUGACCCUCCACCCCAGGCCC
This 1063-nucleotide long non-coding RNA is filed under the name Salmo salar (Atlantic salmon). Its description in RNAcentral is "lncRNA (ENSSSAG00000105614.1)". Lineage: Eukaryota; Metazoa; Chordata; Actinopteri; Salmoniformes; Salmonidae. The record is from RNAcentral.